This is a non-coding RNA of Dipodomys ordii (Ord's kangaroo rat), 70 nucleotides long. Lineage: Eukaryota; Metazoa; Chordata; Mammalia; Rodentia; Heteromyidae. The record is from Rfam.
GGGAAAGUGGCUCAGUGGUAGAGUGCUUGCCUUGCAUGCAUGAGGCCCUGGGUGCGAUUCCUCAGCACCA